RNAcentral lists this ribosomal RNA (614 nucleotides) under uncultured organism. Its description in RNAcentral is "bacterial SSU rRNA". It matches the Rfam family "Bacterial small subunit ribosomal RNA", at positions 754 to 1356 of the family's 1533-position model. The record is from RNAcentral.
CGAAAGCGUAGGGGAGCGAACGGGAUUAGAUACCCCGGUAGUCUACGCCGUAAACGAUGCGCACUAGGUUCGAGAGCUACUGACAGUUUUUCGUGCCGAAACAAAAGCGAUAAGUGCGCCGCCUGGGGAGUACGGCCGCAAGGCUAAAACUCAAAGGAAUUGACGGGGGCUCACACAAGCGGUGGAGCAUGUGGAUUAAUUCGAAGCAACGCGAAGAACCCUACCUGGGUUUGACAUGUACGGAUGCCCUUCCCGAAAGGGGAGUAAGCUGCCUUCGGGUGAAACGUACACAGGUGCUGCAUGGCUGUCGUCAGCUCGUGCUGUGAAGUGUCGGGUUAAGUCCCUUAACGAGCGAAACCCUUAUCGCUAGUUGCCAGCGGGUUAUGCCGGGAACUCUAGCGAGACUGCCGGCGUUAAGCCGGAGGAAGGUGGGGACGACGUCAAGUCAUCAUGGCCUUUAUGCCCAGGGUGUCACACGUGCUACAAUGGGACGUACAGAGCGACGCCAAGCCGCGAGGUGUAGCAAAUCGCAGAAAGCGUUCCUCAGUUCGGGAUUGGGGUCUGCAACCCGACCCCAUGAAGUCGGAAUCGCUAGUAAUCGCGUAUCAGCCAUG